GGAAUCUUCCACAAUGGACGAAAGUCUGAUGGAGCAAAGCCGCGUGAGUGAAGAAGGUUUUCGGAUCGUAAAACUCUGUUGUUGGAGAAGAACACGUUUGAGAGUAACUGUUCAGACGUUGACGGUAUCCAACCAGAAAGCCACGGCUAACUACGUGCCAGCAGCCGCGGUAAUACGUAGGUGGCGAGCGUUGUUCGGAUUUAUUGGGCGUAAAGGGUCCGCAGGUGGUUGGAUAAGUUUGACGUGAAAUCCCAGAGCUCAACUCUGGAACUGCGUUGAAAACUGUCUGACUGGAGUAUCGGAGAGGAGAUUGGAAUUCCAGGUGUAGCGGUGGAAUGCGUAGAUAUCUGGAAGAACACCGAAAGCGAAGGCAGAUCUCUGGACGAUAACUGACUCUCAGGGACGAAAGUAUGGGGAUCAAACA
This 424-nucleotide ribosomal RNA is filed under the name uncultured bacterium. RNAcentral describes it as "bacterial SSU rRNA". It matches the Rfam family "Bacterial small subunit ribosomal RNA", at positions 358 to 774 of the family's 1533-position model. The record is from RNAcentral.